This 484-nucleotide ribosomal RNA is filed under the name uncultured bacterium. RNAcentral describes it as "partial 16S ribosomal RNA". It matches the Rfam family "Bacterial small subunit ribosomal RNA", at positions 30 to 507 of the family's 1533-position model. The record is from RNAcentral.
AUUGAACGCUGGCGGCAGGCCUAACACAUGCAAGUCGAGCGGAUGAAGGGAGCUUGCUCCUGGAUUCAGCGGCGGACGGGUGAGUAAUGCCUAGGAAUCUGCCUGGUAGUGGGGGAUAACGUCCGGAAACGGGCGCUAAUACCGCAUACGUCCUGAGGGAGAAAGUGGGGGAUCUUCGGACCUCACGCUAUCAGAUGAGCCUAGGUCGGAUUAGCUAGUUGGUGGGGUAAAGGCCUACCAAGGCGACGAUCCGUAACUGGUCUGAGAGGCUGAUCAGUCACACUGGAACUGGGACACGGUCCAGACUCCUACGGGAGGCAGCAGUGGGGAAUAUUGGACAAUGGGCGAAAGCCUGAUCCAGCCAUGCCGCGUGUGUGAAGAAGGUCUUCGGAUUGUAAAGCACUUUAAGUUGGGAGGAAGGGCAGUAAGUUAAUACCUUGCUGUUUUGACGUUACCAACAGAAUAAGCACCGGCUAACUUCGUG